RNAcentral lists this ribosomal RNA (465 nucleotides) under uncultured bacterium. Its description in RNAcentral is "partial 16S ribosomal RNA". It matches the Rfam family "Bacterial small subunit ribosomal RNA", at positions 28 to 507 of the family's 1533-position model. The record is from RNAcentral.
GACGAACGCUGGCGGCGUGCUUAACACAUGCAAGUCGUACGGUAAGGCCCUUUCGGGGGUACACGAGGGGCGGACGGGUGAGUAACACGUGAGUAACCUGCCCACAACUUUGGGAUAACGCUAGGAAACUGGUGCUAAUAAUGCUAAUAUGCUCCUGCUGCAACGUGGGGGAUGGAAAGAUCCGGCGGUUGUGGAUGGACUCGCGGCCUAUCGGCUUGUUGGUGGGGUAGUGGCGUACCAACGCGGCGACGGGUAGCCGGCCUGAGAGGGUGACCGGCCACAUUGGGACUGAGAUACGGCCCAGACUCCUACGGGUGGCAGCAGUGGGGAAUAUUGCACAAUGGGCGCAAGCCUGAUGCAGCAACGCCGCGUGCGGGAUGACGGCCUUCGGGUUGUAAACCGCUUUCAGCAGGGACGAAGCUUUUUGUGACGGUACCUGCAGAAGAAGCACCGGCUAACUACGUG